This is a long non-coding RNA of Caretta caretta (loggerhead turtle), 407 nucleotides long. RefSeq lists it as uncharacterized. The record is from RefSeq and is a predicted model, not a curated record. NCBI's taxonomy places the organism in Eukaryota, Metazoa, Chordata, Testudines, Cheloniidae.
CUAUUGAAAACGAGGACAGAUACGUAGCGUCUUCUCGUAAGACUAAACUGUCACUCUCCAUCCUAUUACGAUCAGGCUUCAGGACGGAUCCUUAAUAUAAAACUCGUGUGGACGGCAUAGGAGGAUUAAAAUGUUAGAGACAAUGAAUUGUUUUCCAGUCCAAUCUCAGUGAAAAUGUUCAAGGCAAAGUGUAACUAUCAACCAGAAACAACGCAAGGGGGGAAAAAACCGAGGUUCUCCCCAGAAAACAGUCCUCGACGCUGGACUUGGAAGGCUACAAUUAUGCUACCUGGCAGCUCCGUCCAACGUCAGCUCCAGCUGCUCAGGAUUGCGUGAUGAUGACUGCCCUCCCUAAACGCUGAUCCGGCUUAGGAAGUGGGGAGUUUGGAAAAGGGGAGGGGAAGAAG